CAAAGUGUAGCUUAGCCCAAAGCAUCUGGCUUACACCCAGAAGAUUCCGCAUAUAACGGACACUCUGA
This 68-nucleotide transfer RNA is filed under the name Lyroderma lyra (Indian false vampire). Its description in RNAcentral is "tRNA-Val". It matches the Rfam family "tRNA". From Rfam's summary of the family: Transfer RNA (tRNA) molecules are approximately 80 nucleotides in length. Their secondary structure includes four short double-helical elements and three loops (D, anti-codon, and T loops). Further hydrogen bonds mediate the characteristic L-shaped molecular structure. tRNAs have two regions of fundamental functional importance: the anti-codon, which is responsible for specific mRNA codon recognition, and the 3' end, to which the tRNAs corresponding amino acid is attached (by aminoacyl-tRNA synthetases). tRNAs cope with the degeneracy of the genetic code in two manners: having more than one tRNA (with a specific anti-codon) for a particular amino acid; and 'wobble' base-pairing, i.e. permitting non-standard base-pairing at the 3rd anti-codon position. Lineage: Eukaryota; Metazoa; Chordata; Mammalia; Chiroptera; Megadermatidae. The record is from RNAcentral.